This 484-nucleotide ribosomal RNA is filed under the name uncultured bacterium. RNAcentral describes it as "partial 16S ribosomal RNA". It matches the Rfam family "Bacterial small subunit ribosomal RNA", at positions 28 to 523 of the family's 1533-position model. The record is from RNAcentral.
GACGAACGCUGGCGGCGUGCUUAACACAUGCAAGUCGAACGAUGAACCCGGAGCUUGCUCCGGCGGAUUAGUGGCGAACGGGUGAGUAACACGUGAGUAACCUGCCCUUGACUCUGGGAUAACUGCGGGAAACUGUAGCUAAUACCGGAUACGACCCUCGGCGGCAUCGCCAGGGGGUGGAAAGAAUUUCGGUCAAGGAUGGACUCGCGGCCUAUCAGCUAGUUGGUGAGGUAACGGCUCACCAAGGCGACGACGGGUAGCCGGCCUGAGAGGGUGACCGGCCCGACUGGGACUGAGACACGGCCCAGACUCCUACGGGAGGCAGCAGUGGGGAAUAUUGCACAAUGGGCGCAAGCCUGAUGCAGCAACGCCGCGUGAGGGAUGACGGCCUUCGGGUUGUAAACCUCUUUUAGUAGGGAGGAAGCGAAAGUGACGGUACCUGCAGAAAAAGCACCGGCUAACUACGUGCCAGCAGCCGCCGUAA